Molecule: ribosomal RNA, 550 nt
Filed under: uncultured bacterium
Lineage: Bacteria
Description: bacterial SSU rRNA
Rfam family: Bacterial small subunit ribosomal RNA
Source: RNAcentral
UAGGGAAUCUUCGGCAAUGGGGGCAACCCUGACCGAGCAACGCCGCGUGAGUGAAGAAGGUUUUCGGAUCGUAAAGCUCUGUUGUAAGAGAAGAACGAGUGUGAGAGUGGAAAGUUCACACUGUGACGGUAUCUUACCAGAAAGGGACGGCUAACUACGUGCCAGCAGCCGCGGUAAUACGUAGGUCCCGAGCGUUGUCCGGAUUUAUUGGGCGUAAAGCGAGCGCAGGCGGUUAGAUAAGUCUGAAGUUAAAGGCUGUGGCUUAACCAUAGUACGCUUUGGAAACUGUUUAACUUGAGUGCAAGAGGGGAGAGUGGAAUUCCAUGUGUAGCGGUGAAAUGCGUAGAUAUAUGGAGGAACACCGGUGGCGAAAGCGGCUCUCUGGCUUGUAACUGACGCUGAGGCUCGAAAGCGUGGGGAGCAAACAGGAUUAGAUACCCUGGUAGUCCACGCCGUAAACGAUGAGUGCUAGGUGUUGGAUCCUUUCCGGGAUUCAGUGCCGCAGCUAACGCAUUAAGCACUCCGCCUGGGGAGUACGACCGCAAGGUUG